Molecule: unclassified non-coding RNA, 305 nt
Filed under: plant metagenome
Description: partial contains 5.8S ribosomal RNA, internal transcribed spacer 2, and large subunit ribosomal RNA
Rfam family: 5.8S ribosomal RNA (bases 1-105)
Source: RNAcentral
GAAAUGCGAUAAGUAGUGUGAAUUGCAGAAUUCAGUGAAUCAUCGAAUCUUUGAACGCACAUUGCGCCCUUUGGUAUUCCUUAGGCCAUGCCUGUUCGAGCGUCAUCUAAACCUUCAAGCCCUGCUUGGUGUUGGGUGCCUGUCCCGCCUCCGCGCGCGGACUCACCUCAAAUCCAUUGGCGGCCCCCGCGUCGGCCACGAGCGCAGCAGAAACGCGAACUCGUGAGCCCGUCCGGGCGGCUCCCAGAAGCUACACCCACCCAGUUUGACCUCGGAUCAGGUAGGGAUACCCGCUGAACUUAAGC